UCUGAGGCACGUUAUCUGCGAGCCAGGCUGAGUUCUGCAUCCUGGGGGGCAGCACGAAGAGGUACUCGAAGGGCGAGAGAAUUGAAAUACAUCCAGGAGGACUUUUACCUGGCUUUGAAGGAAGGACGUGAUCUGCGUGAGUGCAGAGGCAGUGGGAGAGAUUCCAGGGAAAUCAGGCUCAGCCUAUAUGUAGUUGUGAGUUUGUAUGUGUGGGAUGGGGAGAGACUGGGGGAGUGCUGCGAGGGCCUCUCAUGGGAGAAAAGUGGAGAUGUCUAUUGGUCUCCAAAAGUGGGGACAGCUCACGAAGAGCUCUGGAAGCCUGGGAGACGGCCGUGGAGCAGAGAGCCGAGUGCACAGGCUGCCCCUCCCCCAGCCACCCCAGCAAAGGAUUAUCCGGCCUAAAAUGCUGAUCCUGGCGAGGCUGAGGAUCCCUGGCCUACGGCGUCACAAGUCCAUUGAAGAGCGUUGCUGAGUUGCUGGAUGGAUAGAUGCUGACUCACAGUCCCCAGCUUCUUUGAAGUCUGUGGAACUGGUUAAGAAAUGCAGGAGGCGAGAAGGACAAACUCACGGCUACAACCUGUUUGAAACCUAAUUCUGGCCACCAUCCAGGAGGCUCUGAGACGUGGUGUCUUGUAUUUAUCAC
Molecule: long non-coding RNA, 643 nt
Filed under: Sus scrofa (pig)
Lineage: Eukaryota; Metazoa; Chordata; Mammalia; Artiodactyla; Suidae
Description: lncRNA (ENSSSCG00030012755.1)
Source: RNAcentral